UUAAUUUUGAAAUGUUAACUUGAAACUAAGCUGAUGUCAUUAAAGCUGACCACCACUGUGACACCACUAACAUGUUCAGGUCCUUGCUUCAGGUGUGUGGCUAGAACUCCUGAGCUUUCUGGGGAUUCUGCCUGUGGAGCGAGGGCUCGGACUUGUCGAUGGACUUGGUGAGGGUCUUUGACUUGAAACUGUGCCUUAGAGCAAAAGCAACAACAUCCAUCCCACUCCCCACAUGGAUAUCAACACAAGAAGCAAUUUUCACAAAUGGCUCCCUGAAGCACUGAAUAAGGGCUAUGGAAAGAUUGAAAAGUGAAGGUCUUAUUGUUUCCAAGAGAGGAGGGAAGCCACUGUCCUUAUAGAUUCUGGGAAAAUGCUCAGAAAACAACACAAACCCAAACAAAAAAGACUGCUAUAUCAUCAGUCAUUGCUCUCUCUACCGGGUUUUUCUAGAUCCUUUUGGAACUACUGGUAAACACCAGAUUAGCUGUGAGGCAGCUGCCCACUUGAGAUGUAUGGAGCAUUUCCUGGGGUCUGUUCCUUUUUUGUGUGAUAAUAAAUAUCUGCAUGAGUUUUGCCAGCUUCA
Ictidomys tridecemlineatus (thirteen-lined ground squirrel) is the source of this 583-nucleotide non-coding RNA. NCBI's taxonomy places the organism in Eukaryota, Metazoa, Chordata, Mammalia, Rodentia, Sciuridae. The record is from RefSeq and is a predicted model, not a curated record.